Molecule: long non-coding RNA, 461 nt
Filed under: Homo sapiens (human)
Lineage: Eukaryota; Metazoa; Chordata; Mammalia; Primates; Hominidae
Description: non-protein coding lnc-NAALADL2-1:16
Source: RNAcentral
AAAACAAGUUGCUGCUGAUACUGAAUCCAGAGAGGUGAACAGAUUUCCCCUUCCUAAUAAUACAACCACAGCAACAGCAGCUGUGACUGAGGAGAAACCAGAACUAACAUCUCUUCAAGAGGGGACCCCCUGAUUCAACAGGCAUUAUUCAUUAUCUGAAGGCUGGGAAGGAGACUGAUAGACUAAGAACCUUGGCUGAUCCUCUGGAGACAGACUGCUCCUUAAUCUUGAGAUGGACAAAUCUCCAUAAGCCUUCCAAUGGUCUUCUGACAAUACGGCCUUGAAUUAUAUUCUUUUCUAACCUGGCCUUCCAUAUGUAUUUUUCUAGGCCCCUAAGGAGGAGAAGGGCAAAUAGGGAAUUAUGUUUGGAUUGGCUGGACAAAUAGAAAAGAACGGUGCAUGUUAGAUAAAAUCACAGUAGACUACAAAAAUAUUUCUGAAUUCAUCAUUCUACAGUAAUG